Molecule: ribosomal RNA, 547 nt
Filed under: uncultured bacterium
Lineage: Bacteria
Description: bacterial SSU rRNA
Rfam family: Bacterial small subunit ribosomal RNA
Source: RNAcentral
UGGGGAAUCUUGGACAAUGGGGGCAACCCUGAUCCAGCCAUGCCGCGUGAGUGAUGAAGGCCUUAGGGUCGUAAAGCUCUUUCGCCUGUGAAGAUAAUGACGGUAGCAGGUAAAGAAACCCCGGCUAACUCCGUGCCAGCAGCCGCGGUAAUACGGAGGGGGUUAGCGUUGUUCGGAAUUACUGGGCGUAAAGCGCACGUAGGCGGACCAGAAAGUUGGGGGUGAAAUCCCGGGGGCUCAACCCCGGAACUGCCUCCAAAACUAUUGGUCUAGAGUUCGAGAGAGGUGAGUGGAAUUCCAAGUGUAGAGGUGAAAAUUCGUAGAUAUUUGGAGGAACACCAGUGGCGAAGGCGGCUCACUGGCUCGAUACUGACGCUGAGGUGCGAAAAGUGUGGGGAGCAAAACAGGAUUAGAUACCCUGGUAGUCCACACCGUAAAACGAUGAAAUGCCAGUCGUCGGGUAGCAUGCUAUUCGGUGACACACCUAACGGAUUAAGCAUUCCGCCUGGGGAGUACGGUCGCAAGAUUAAAAACUCAAAAUGAAUUG